UGCAUCCCAGGCAGCUCUUAGUGUGGAGCAGUGAACUGUGUGUGGUUUCUUCUACUUGGGGAUCAUGCAGAGAGCUUCACGUCUGAAGAGAGAGCUGCACAUGUUAGCCACAGAGCCACCCCCAGGCAUCACAUGUUGGCAAGAUAAAGACCAAAUGGAUGACCUGCAAGCUCGUACCCAUUUGAACCUCCUCAGAUCCGAUUUCUCACUCCAAUUUAUCAUCCAAACAUUGAUUCUGCUGGAAGGAUUUGUCUGGAUGUUCUCAAAUUGCCACCAAAAGGUGCUUGGAGACCAUCCCUCAACAUCGCAACUGUGUUGACCUCUAUUCAGCUGCUCAUGUCAGAACCCAACCCUGAUGACCCGCUCAUGGCUGACAUAGUAAAUAUCCCCAUUUUCCUCUGCAACACAUAUCCUACCUUGUCUAUACCGCUAACUCUCCCUGUGUGAGGAUAGCUGCAGCAGCUCUAACCACUGCAAAUCAUGUUUUUCUCCAUUAACUCUUUUCUUUGAUUUCAUCUCAGUCCUCAGAAUUUAAAUAUAAUAAGCCAGCCUUCCUCAAGAAUGCCAGACAGUGGACAGAGAAGCAUGCAAGACAGAAACAAAAG
Molecule: small RNA, 605 nt
Filed under: Pan troglodytes (chimpanzee)
Lineage: Eukaryota; Metazoa; Chordata; Mammalia; Primates; Hominidae
Description: retained intron
Source: RNAcentral